RNAcentral lists this ribosomal RNA (500 nucleotides) under uncultured cyanobacterium. RNAcentral's name for it is "bacterial SSU rRNA". It matches the Rfam family "Bacterial small subunit ribosomal RNA", at positions 357 to 871 of the family's 1533-position model. Lineage: Bacteria; Bacillati; Cyanobacteriota. The record is from RNAcentral.
GGUAAUUUUCCGCAAUGGGCGAAAGCCUGACGGAGCAAUACCGCGUGAGGGACGAAGGCUUUUGGGUCGUAAACCUCUUUUCCCUGAGAAGAAGAUCUGACGGUAUCAGGGGAAUAAGCAUCGGCUAACUUCGUGCCAGCAGCCGCGGUAAUACGAGGGAUGCAAGCGUUAUCCGGAAUUAUUGGGCGUAAAGCGUCCGCAGGUGGCUCUGUAAGUCUGUCGUUAAAGAAUGGGGCUUAACCCCAUACAGGCGAUGGAAACUACAAGGCUAGAGCUUGGUAGGGGUCACGGGAAUUCCUAGUGUAGCGGUGAAAUGCGUAGAUAUUAGGAGGAACACCAGCGGCGAAAGCGCGUGACUGGGCCAGUACUGACACUCAUGGACGAAAGCUAGGGGAGCGAAAGGGAUUAGAUACCCCUGUAGUCCUAGCCGUAAACGAUGAUAACUAGGUGUUGCCCGUAUCGACCCGGGCAGUGCCGUAGCCAACGCGUUAAGUUAUCCG